RNAcentral lists this transfer RNA (86 nucleotides) under Emericellopsis atlantica. RNAcentral's name for it is "Emericellopsis sp. TS7 tRNA-His". It matches the Rfam family "tRNA". From Rfam's summary of the family: Transfer RNA (tRNA) molecules are approximately 80 nucleotides in length. Their secondary structure includes four short double-helical elements and three loops (D, anti-codon, and T loops). The record is from RNAcentral. Lineage: Eukaryota; Fungi; Ascomycota; Sordariomycetes; Hypocreales; Bionectriaceae.
GCUCAAAUAGUCUAGGUGGUUAGGGCACCACGUUGUGGUUACACAUCAGAACCGUGGAAACCCCAGUUCGAGUCUGGGUUUGGGCA